CUACCGGGGUGACAGCCAGGUCUGCCCACCCCUUGACUGUCAAUGGAAGGCAGAGCUAUGAACCUCACCUCAUGGUGAGUACCCUGUCCCCAACGUGGUUCCUGGGACCUCUGUGAUGAACAGAGCAGUCUCUCACUGGGGUCAGGGACCCAACCAGCAUCCCUGUGCAUACCAUGAGCCAAUUGAGUAGCUGCGGACCUUGAGUCUCACUGGGGAAUGUCUCUCUGAUUUCCUGGCUUCCACCUGUCCUGACUCAUCCUCCAGUCCUUCAUUGCUCCAUCGUGGAUCCCCAUCCUGGGGGACCAGCAGUGAAGUUGCCUAGCUUCAUACCUGCCGGGUCCCAGAAAGACAGCUUGACCUGGACCCAGGCAGGGGGUCCUCGAGUGUCCACACACACACACACACACACACACACACACACACACACACCCCUUUCCCAAAGCAAGGGCAGCGCCGCCCUUGCCUGCCUGGGGAGUGGAUUUGAAGCACGGAUGCAGUUGCCUGGUUUCCAUUAAUUGGGUCUACGCGGGUUUCUAUUUUCUCCCAGAAUACCGAUUGAUCUCGGCGAGCCAGUGGCAACAAGGAUCGUGGACUUCCAUGUGGUUUCCAGUGGCCGCACAGAUCGUGGACAUCACCUUGGCUGCCGGCAGCAGCAUGAACCACAGACAUCAACGAAGUCUCUGUUGGCAGUACAGACCACGGACAUUGGCAUGACUGCAGUGGUCUGCAUGGCUCCUGCUCCUGAAUCCUCACUGGGAUAAGGCUCUGGCCUUGGCACAGGUUCCUCCCUCCCCCCAGCAAGCCAGGAUCAUUAUGGGUGGAAUCAAGAUGGUCAAUCAAGACUUCAGACACGGGAGCUGAGAUGGCUUCUGCGCUUCAGAAAGAUGUGGUAGCUUUUCCAGGAGUGGGCAAUUUCUCUGCCUCCAUGAGGCUGCUUCUCAAGUCUGACAAAACAUUCCAUAAUAAAAAAGUUC
This is a non-coding RNA of Peromyscus maniculatus bairdii (prairie deer mouse), 974 nucleotides long. NCBI's taxonomy places the organism in Eukaryota, Metazoa, Chordata, Mammalia, Rodentia, Cricetidae. The record is from RefSeq and is a predicted model, not a curated record.